Molecule: ribosomal RNA, 351 nt
Filed under: uncultured bacterium
Lineage: Bacteria
Description: partial 16S ribosomal RNA
Rfam family: Bacterial small subunit ribosomal RNA
Source: RNAcentral
CCUACGGGAGGCAGCAGUAGGGAAUAUUGCUCAAUGGGGGAAACCCUGAAGCAGCAACGCCGCGUGGAGGAUGAAGGUUUUCGGAUUUUAAACUCCUUUUUUUAGAGAAGUUAAUGACGGUAUCUAACGAUUAAGCACCGUCUAACUCCGUGCCAGCAGCCGCGGUAAUACGGAGGGUGCAAGCGUUACUCGGAAUCACUGGGCGUAAAGAGCGCGUAGGCGGGAUAGCAAGUCAGAUGUGAAAUCCUAUGGCUUAACCAUAAAACUGCAUUUGAAACUGUUAUUCUAGAGUAUGGGAGGGGUAGGUGGAAUUCUUGGUGGAGGGGUAAAAUGCGUAGAGAUCAAGAGGAA